UUUUUUUUUUUUUUUUUUGAGAGAGAGAGAGGGUCUAAUUCUGUCACUCAGGCUGACAUGCAAUCACAGCUCACUGCAGCCAUGACCUCCUGGGCUCAAGCAAUCCUCCUGCCUCAGCCUCCUGAGUAGCUGGGACCACAGGGACAUGCCACCACACCCGGAUAAUUUUUUUUUUUUUUUUUGGUGGAGACGGGGUUUUACCAUGUUACCCAGGCUCAUCUAUAAACUCCUCAGCUCAAGCAAUCCUCCCACCUCACCCUCCGAAAGUGUUAAGAUUACAGGCGAGGCUGGGUGUGGUGGCUCACGCCUGUAAUCCCAGCACUUUGGGAGGCUGAGGCAAGAGAAUGGCAUGAACCUGGGAGGCGGAGCUUGCAGUGAGCCAACAUCAUGCCACUGCACUCCAGCCUGGGUGACAGACUCCAUCUCAAAAAAAAAAAAAAAAAGAUUACAGGUGAGAGCCACCAUGCCCAGCCUAAAUCUGAUCAUUUUUAACCACCAUUUUGAUUAAUCAUGUACGGCUCCAUUUAUGAACUGAAAUUCUCUUAAACAUUUUCAACUGCAUUUAUACAUGUAGAAUCUAAUUUUAUUCUUUAGCAUUUCAGUUGUCUGCCUUAUCAAGUAUUAAUAUUUAAAUAAUUCUCAUAGGUAUAUUAAAUGUCUACAUUUCUCUUAAACUUUUAAGUUCUCUUUGUUCCAAUUAUAAUCACAAACUUUGGAAUACCUUUCAACUUACAAUCACUAUCAAAAAUCGAAUACCUAGGGCAGGGUGUGAUGGUUCAUGCCUGUAAUCCCAACACUUCGGGAGGUCGAGGCAAGCAGAUAGCCUGAGCCUGGGACUUCAAGACAAGACUGGGCAACAUGGCAAAAGCCAGUGUCCACAAAAAAAAAAAAAAAAAAAAAAUUAGCUAGGCAUGGUGGCACACACCUGUGGUCCCAGCUAUUUGGGAGGCCAAGGUGGGUUGAUCAUCUAAACCUGGGGAGGCCAAGGCUGCAGUGAGGCAUGAUCGUGCCACCACACUCCAGCCUGGGUGACAGAGUGACACCUCGUCUCAAAACACACACACACACAAAUACUUAGAUAUUUUACAUGAGAAUUAGAUUUAUCUAUCAGAUACUCUACCAUGCCAGAUUUCCUUACAAUUACAGAAAAUAGCAAACACAUAUUGUUUGUAAACACAACGCAAAAACGUUAAUGCUCUGGUUUCUAUCUGCCUUGUCAUUCCAUUAUUUGACUCCAUUUUCGAGGUUAGAAACUUACUGUACGGUGGCCGGGCGAAGUGGCUCACACCUGUAAUCCCAGUACUUUGGGAGGCCAAGGAGGGUGGAUCUCCUGAGGUCAGGAGUUCGAGACUGGCCUGGCCAACAUGAUGGAACCCCGUCUCUACUAAAAAUACAAAGAAAAUUAACCGGGUGUGGUGGCAGGCGCCUCUAAUCCCAGCUACUCGGGAGGCUGAGGCAGGAGAAUCACGAGAAUCCAGGUUGGAGGUUGGAGAUUGCAGUGAGCCGAGAUCGCGCCACUGCACUCCAGCCAGCGCGACAAGAGCGAAACUCCAUCUCAAAACAAACAGAAACUCAGUGUAAGAAAACAAUGCAACCCAAGGCAUUUGGGGUGACCUUCACAUUGCCUGGGGGUGCCGAGGGACCAGAGAUGCUGGCCAUGGACUAAGGUCUGGGUAUUCUCAGGCAGCAGGGACAAGGUGGGAUUUUUUCCUGGUUGCUAAACCCACGUCAAAGUCCAGCUCAGGGACUGGAGCUCAAGAAACCCACCACCCAUUCUCCAGUCCGACCGGGGACCUGCAUGCACCUGUGCCGUGCUGCCCUGAGUCCUCCAAUCCUCCACACUCUUCAUCUGUUAGGUACACGUCUGCACCCCAGCCUGCAAAAGUUCCAGGUUCCUCUCAGGGGCAGGCACCCGCACGCCGGCCCAGGGCUUGGCACGCGGGGGCGCUGAAACAGGGCCAGGCCUGGUUUCCAGCCGAUCGUCAUAGUCCCCAGGCCCAGCAACCUUCCUCACAAAGGCAUCGUUAAGAGGCGGGGAAACAAGAGCCAGGAGAGGGGCGCGGAACGGCGGGCGGGACGAACUACCAGCUCCGCGUCCCGGCCAGCUGCGUCGAACCAGGGGCACGGCAGCUGGUGUGCGGUUCGAAAACUAGGAAUGGGAAGGUUCGGGGCCCGCUCGGCUCCGGAGGCAGUCGGCGGGCAGUCGCUGGCGGCGUUGGGACAGUCAGUCGCAGCCGGGUACAGGAGCCCGGUCGGCCCUGAGACCGCGAC
Macaca fascicularis (crab-eating macaque) is the source of this 2271-nucleotide long non-coding RNA. NCBI's taxonomy places the organism in Eukaryota, Metazoa, Chordata, Mammalia, Primates, Cercopithecidae. The record is from Ensembl.